GCGAGAAACCUUAGCAAUGUGCGAAAGCACGACUGGGUCAGUCCGAGUGAUUCCUGAUAAAGGAGUCUUUUGCUUGUCCUAAAAGCACAGGUGAAUAAGGGGUGGGCAAGUCUGGUGU
RNAcentral lists this ribosomal RNA (118 nucleotides) under uncultured archaeon. Its description in RNAcentral is "partial 16S ribosomal RNA". It matches the Rfam family "Archaeal small subunit ribosomal RNA", at positions 339 to 458 of the family's 1478-position model. The record is from RNAcentral.